CUGAAUAAUACAGUUGGUUUGCUUUGUUUGAUACAACCGCAAUGAAUGCCGGGAAAAGCCCGCGAAUUCAAAUGAAACAAUGAACAGAGAGGCAGAGAAAUCCGUGUAUGGUUCGUUCAUUGAAUAUACAUCCGUCAAUGUUUGGAUUGUGUAAUAAUAAUUUGCAUUGUAUCUUUGAAUAAUGGCUAGCCUAGCGAUCAUCUACGUUCAAUGUUCAUCUAUGUUCAGUUCUUUCUUUGCCGUUGGGCUCACGAGCCGAUCAGUUGAUCGGAACAGCGAAUGUUUGGGAACUGUAGUUCUCUAGUAGUUAAGCGGAACUGGCGGCCGUUUAAUUCAAAAUACAUUUCCCUACAUGCAUCGCGUUGAGCUCAUGAGCCGAACAGCUGAUUUGAGAAGGAGAUGAAAGAUCUAGUGAAACGGAAGGUUUAAUUGUAGUGUUUAUUAUUUUCAACAGAAUAAUGACUGGCAUUCGUAGGUCCCCGGCGGACUUUGCAUCGUCCGGUCAUCCGGAUACGAUUGCUUUGAGGGAUCUGGCCUCCAAGAACUAUCACAUUUGUGUAGAUGACGUCUACACAAAAGAGCAGAAGAUGGAGCACGCCUACACGUUUGGGGUGCUGGUCUGCGACCAGACCAUACGAUACACCGAGAAGGCGAAGCACACCGAGAAUGUGCACAGGCAGCAGCUGGAGUGCCUACGGAGGGAGAACGAACGACUUGGACAGGAUCUCAGGACAUCCCAGGCCAGCUUGUCUGUUACGCAAACAGAUCUGGACGCCACACAGAACGAACUCGAUGACCUCCGCUGCACGAACGCCUCCCAAGAACUGGACUACCUGGACAGCAUGACCGCCUCCCAAGAUACUGAUUCGUCCCAUCCAUUGUGUUCGACGAUGGUCGAUGACAUGGACGAGAACGGGAACGGAGAUCCACUACCAGGCCCCUGAAAAAAUACUACCAGGCCCCUGUAAAGUAGUGUAGUUUGAUAUUGUAAAUAGUGUUUUUUUUUUAAUAUAGUGUGACAUUGUAAAUAGUGUGCUUUUUUUUAAACUUCAAUAAAAACUCAAACAUAGUGUGACAUUGUAAAUAGUGUGC
RNAcentral lists this long non-coding RNA (1092 nucleotides) under Gadus morhua (Atlantic cod). Its description in RNAcentral is "lncRNA (ENSGMOG00000034820.1)". Lineage: Eukaryota; Metazoa; Chordata; Actinopteri; Gadiformes; Gadidae. The record is from RNAcentral.